RNAcentral lists this ribosomal RNA (1083 nucleotides) under uncultured Methanoculleus sp. Its description in RNAcentral is "partial 16S ribosomal RNA". The stretch from base 1 to 969 matches the Rfam family "Archaeal small subunit ribosomal RNA". The record is from RNAcentral. Lineage: Archaea; Methanobacteriati; Methanobacteriota; Methanomicrobia; Methanomicrobiales; Methanomicrobiaceae.
CUUUUUUUAAAAGCACUUCUGAGCAACGUCGGACAUUCUUCGUACCACCAGCGCUUAGUGGCUGUGUCUCGCGUAAAAAAAGGGGGAAAAGAAAGGCCCGGAAAAGAGGGGAAAAAGAGGCGCGAAUAUACGCGCGGCGAGAGGGGCGCAUUAUAAUAUUGAGCUUAAAGCGUGCGUAGCCGGUCGUGGAAGUCCUUGGAAUUCCCACAAGCUCAUUUUUCAAUUUCCGGGAGACCUGAGGUCCGGGACCGGAAGAGUUUCUAUUUCUCUCCGGGGUAGGGGGAAUCUCUUUAAAUCUCGGAGGGCCACCGGGGGGAAGCGUCCAAUAAGACGGAAUCCAAGGGUAGGGAACAAAGCCCUGGGCCCACCGGUAUUAGACACCCUGUUAUCCCGGGGGAACGCCUGCGGUUUGGUGUCGAAGGCCCUAAAAGAAUUUCGGGUGCCGAAUGAAAAUUUUAGACCUGCCGCUGGGGAGACACGGCCAAAGAUUAAAAAAAAAAUUGGGGGGCAGCCCCCGAAGGGGGAGGCUGUGUUUAUUUGAUUCCACCGCGGACACUCCCCAGGGGGGGGUAUAUUGAAGGUAGUUCGGCACCUUUCCCUAGAUUUUGGGAGGGGGGGCAUGGCGUCGGUCUUUCGACCGGGGGGGGUGCUUUAAUUAAAAUAAAAACGAACCCUCCUGGUAAUAGUUGGCGUUUCGGAAGGAACGGGCCUUUUUUGGGACCCCCCGCUUAAAUGGGAAAGGAACGCAACGGGAGGGAGUUCCCCCGACCCUGGGCUAACCGCCCUUAAAAGACCAGGAAAUGGUUCAAUGCAAAGGCAAAGGUAAUACAAAAACCCCCAAAAUCUAAUAUGAAGGCAUAAAAUCGCCCUUAUUAAGCUGGUUCGGUAAAAUCCCGUUAAAUCACACGGGGGAAUUUUAUUUUUUUUUGUUAAGGGAGGGGAAAUCGUUAACCUCGGGGAUCACGCCAUUGGGGGGGGUAUUUCUAGGCUUGGCAAAAGGGGGCAAAGGGGGCCGGAAAAAGAGACCCCCCCCCCAAAAAAAAAAAGGGGGCCGGGGGAGGGGCCCCACUAUCUCGGAGAGAC